UGCCUCCUGGCAAUGGACAAAGAGACACCUUGUUGUCAGUGUUAUUCUCAUAUCAGUCAGGGGCAGGGCAGAUGGUCCUUUGCUCAUUGUAGCUUGAAGCCUGGCUGGGUGGCCAAAGCUAUUUUAUGCCCAGGACUUGUAC
This is a non-coding RNA of Mus caroli (Ryukyu mouse), 142 nucleotides long. NCBI's taxonomy places the organism in Eukaryota, Metazoa, Chordata, Mammalia, Rodentia, Muridae. The record is from RefSeq and is a predicted model, not a curated record.